CUUAUACUCCCUCCGUCAGAAAAUACUUGUUCUAUAAAUGGAUAUAAUGGAUGUAUCUAUAANNAAAAUAAGUCUAGAUACAUUCAUCUCUAGGACAAUUAUUUCCGAACGAAGAGAGUAUAUA
Molecule: non-coding RNA, 124 nt
Organism: Hordeum vulgare subsp. vulgare (domesticated barley)
Lineage: Eukaryota; Viridiplantae; Streptophyta; Magnoliopsida; Poales; Poaceae
Source: Rfam